UACGUAGGGGGCAAGCGUUGUCCGGAUUUAUUGGGCGUAAAGAGCUCGUAGGCGGUUCGAUAAGUCGGGUGUGAAAUCUCCAGGCUCAACCUGGAGGCGCCACCCGAUACUGUCGUGACUUGAGUUCGGUAGAGGAGUAUGGAAUUCCCGGUGUAGCGGUGAAAUGCGCAGAUAUCGGGAGGAACACCAAUGGCGAAGGCAGCUCGCUGGGACGGUACUGACGCUGAGACGCGAAAGCGUGGGGAGCAAACAGG
RNAcentral lists this ribosomal RNA (254 nucleotides) under uncultured bacterium. RNAcentral describes it as "partial 16S ribosomal RNA". It matches the Rfam family "Bacterial small subunit ribosomal RNA", at positions 524 to 776 of the family's 1533-position model. The record is from RNAcentral.